GUGCCAGCAGCCGCGGUAAGACGAACCGUGCGAACGUUGUUCGGAAUCACUGGGCUCAAAGGGCGCGUAGGCGGGCCGCAAAGUCAGGGGUGAAAUCCUCCAGCUUAACUGGAGAACUGCCUUUGAUACUGGCGGCCUGGAGUAAGGUAGGGGCAUGCGGAACUGAUGGUGGAGCGGUGAAAUGUGUUGAUAUCAUCAGGAACUCCGGUGGCGAAAGCGGCGUGCUGGACCUUUACUGACGCUGAGGGACGAAAGCUAGGGGAGCAAACAGGAUUAGAUACCCCAGUAGUCC
RNAcentral lists this ribosomal RNA (292 nucleotides) under uncultured bacterium. RNAcentral's name for it is "partial 16S ribosomal RNA". It matches the Rfam family "Bacterial small subunit ribosomal RNA", at positions 505 to 796 of the family's 1533-position model. The record is from RNAcentral.